Molecule: ribosomal RNA, 336 nt
Filed under: Hyalella curvispina
Lineage: Eukaryota; Metazoa; Arthropoda; Malacostraca; Amphipoda; Hyalellidae
Description: partial small subunit ribosomal RNA
Source: RNAcentral
AACAAAAAGCAAGUAAUAAAAUAGGAUUAGAUACCCUAGUAUUUUUGUAGGCUACACCUUAUCACUAAGUUUAAAAUAAGAAUAUUUGGCGGCUUUAAGUUAUUAGAGGGGCUUGUCAAUAAACGAUACCCCGCGUUUAGUUAUACUUAAUUUAAUUUUGUAUACCUUCGUAUAGGUUGUCUUUUAUAGUUAACAAUUUAAAAAAAUAGAUCAAGGUGCAGAAAUUUUUAAGCUAGAUUAGCCACAAUACUUACCAGUAGACGAAAAAUUAAGCUAUCAGGAGGAUUUAACUUUAACUACUAUACUUGUGAAUUAGGGCCUUAAAGUGUUCAGAUC